RNAcentral lists this ribosomal RNA (253 nucleotides) under uncultured bacterium. RNAcentral describes it as "partial 16S ribosomal RNA". It matches the Rfam family "Bacterial small subunit ribosomal RNA", at positions 524 to 776 of the family's 1533-position model. The record is from RNAcentral.
UACAGAGGGUGCAAGCGUUGUUCGGAAUUAUUGGGCGUAAAGCGCGUGUAGGCGGCAUGGCAAGUCGGGUGUGAAAGCCCUCAGCUCAACUGAGGAAGUGCGCCCGAAACUGCUUUGCUUGAGUGCUGGAGAGGGUCGCGGAAUUCCCCAAGUAGAGGUGAAAUUCGUAGAUAUGGGGAGGAACACCGGUGGCGAAGGCGGCGACCUGGACAGUAACUGACGCUGAGGCACGAAAGCGUGGGGAGCAAACAGG